UUUAUUAAUUAUUGGUUUCUAAGAGGAAAAAAUAAUAAUAAGGGAAAAAGUCAUGGAGUUAUUGUAUUGUUUCUGAAACGACCACAUAUUUUACUGACCGUCUCUAGAGCAAGUAGCAAAAGGCUUGAUGGUUGGUAUCCGAGACCCAAGUUCGAAUCCUAGUUGAUUCACAUUUCUAACUAAGUUUAUUUUUAAAUAAAAUAAACAAAACGAAUAGCGUGCUAUUUAUCUCUAAAAAAAAAAACGACUGCAUAGUUUGGCUAUUUUAGUAAGUUAACUAAA
This 282-nucleotide long non-coding RNA is filed under the name Ananas comosus (pineapple). RNAcentral describes it as "long non-coding RNA (ACOM_LNC010855)". Lineage: Eukaryota; Viridiplantae; Streptophyta; Magnoliopsida; Poales; Bromeliaceae. The record is from RNAcentral.